CCUACGGGAGGCAGCAGUGAGGAAUAUUGGUCAAGGGGCGCGAGCCUGAACCAGCCAAGUAGCGUGAAGGAUGACUGCCCUACGGGGUGUAAACUUCUUUUAUAAAGGAAUAAAGUGAGGCACGUGUGCCUUUUUGUAUGUACUUUAUGAAUAAGGAUCGGCUACCUCCGUGCCAGCAGCCGCGGUAAUACGGAGGAGCCGAGCGUUAUCCGGAUUUAUUGGGUUUCAAGGGAGCGUAGAUGGGUUGGUAAGUCAGUGGUGACAGUUUGCGGCUCCACCGUUCAAUUGCCAUUGAUACUUGCAUUCUUGAGUACAGUUGCGGUCGGCGGACUUCGUGGUGUAUCGGU
RNAcentral lists this ribosomal RNA (347 nucleotides) under uncultured bacterium. RNAcentral describes it as "partial 16S ribosomal RNA". It matches the Rfam family "Bacterial small subunit ribosomal RNA", at positions 338 to 682 of the family's 1533-position model. The record is from RNAcentral.